UGUCCCGGGUGCUGCCACAGCCGCUGCGCGCCAGCGUCAGCGAGGGGCAGACUGGGGAGACCUCGGCGAGGCGGGAAGCGUGGCCCAGAGGAGUUUUCUGUGUGCAUCGAUUGGGGUUUUGUUUGAGGUCUGGCUCCAGCUGAGGGGAAGGAAGCGGGGUUCCCGCGCCGUUUUCCUCCAAGCAGGUGCUGAGGUCACUGCGACCUCGAGAGCUCGCGCCCCGGGCGGGCAUCAGGCGCCGUUCACGAGCCUGGGGAGGGGACGGCGGGGGAAGGGCUCCUACCCGCUGAUGGGCUCAUUUCAGCGCCUUGGUAGAACCUGACGCCUGCCUGCUGAACCGCGCCGUACCCGGGGGCGCACCGUUCCUGCGUAGCCAAGGGCUAGAUCGCGGGACCCACCGUCCAGGCUCUGAGUGACGGCUGGGGAGAAUGACUGCUGAUUGAGGCAAUUAAAAUCCACGCUGGAGUCUACUGAGGACCUCGGGCUGGGGAAAAAAAAAUAAAACGAAUGGAAACUUCUUGGAAGAGAAUGAGGCAGAGCGGCCAGAGUCGGCAGGAUUGAUGGCGGGUGGGGGAUGGAAUCAGGGCAUUUGGUGACCUUGGCCCGCGGAGGCGUGGAAGCGCCCGCUGCUUGCGUGUAAGGGGGAUCUGUGUGCGCCUGGGAGGGGAGAACAGGGUUUCCAACUAAGCAAUCUCGGCUUUACAAAUCCGAGUAGGAAAGAAGGCAUCGCCUGCAGGGCCCUCGUUUUAAGGGGCUUCAAACCAAUGCCCCCCCUCGCCCCCAGAGAAUCUUCGCGGUAGCGGGUGACCCGGAAGCGCGAGAUUGGUUCUCUCUGAGGCGUAUUAGGAGGCGGUUUCUCUUUUUCUAAUAAAGAAAGGAGGAGAAAGUCAGAAUCGUUCUGAUGAUUUCCUUUCUACAAAAAGCUAUUGCAGACAGGGAGGACGCCCUAAGGAUUGGGAGCCCUUUGACAGUUUGCGCUGCGUUCUCCUGGCAGUGGAGAUGAACUUCAAGUGCACCUCGGAGCUCCGGGGCUCUGGGGGAGACGGAGGGAGGGAGAGAGAGGAAAGGGCUGAGGUCGGCUUCCCGAGGCGGCUGCCUUCCCCGCGCCUGGCCAGAGCGCCUGUCAUUUCCAUUGUGUUCACAAGUCGUUUUAUUUCUCUGACCUCCUGAACCAGCCACCAAAGCUGCUAACAAAGCAGAGACCCGGGGAUCCCGUCUGGGCGAGCACCCCUCGACCCUCGCUUAGAAGGGACAUCCUGGGGCCCAUGCUGGACGCAUACAGGCCCAAGUCCUGUGUGCUCGAGCAUAACUGUCCCUGGUCAAUUCUCUCCACAAAGCGCUGUCUUCUUCUCGCGUGCCUGAGUCCAGGGGUUCCCUGAGGAGUCAUGGGAUCCACACUAUGGCAACUGGGCCCAGGCGCCAGGAUGAGAGCAGGAAACCAGUCGGGCGUUGAUAGCGUCCUGCCGAAGGCUGGCACUGAGCGUGCUAGGUGAAGUCUGUUCCAGGCUGUGGGAGCCCGGGUGGUCGAAAACUCAGGGCUCAGUUUGGCUCCUCUUUCUUGCUCUCCUGGCUCUGACACUCUAGGUCACCACAAUAACAACUCCGGAAACCUAAAGACUUGUGGUUCAGCCAUCUGCACUUCAGGCAUGGCAGCUCCGCAGCUCUCUCCAGCCUCGCAGAGGCUGGUUCUUUGUUGAAAUCCAUAUCAAAUCCUGCAAAGGUUUUCCUUCAAGCCAGCAGUCUAGGGUUGCAGAACUUUUCUACUAUGGAUGAGUGGUUGAAAACAUAAAGGUUCUUAAAAGCAAGCGUUUAAAUCACACAAAACCCCCAAAGAAGAAACGGAUUAAAACACCUGAAUUUAACUGAUUUUUUUUUCUUUUUGGUAAAGCAAUGGCUUCAAGUGCUACCGUUUAAACUCCAUUAAAUCCCACAGCUCUGGAGUACUUUGGAUCUAAUGGUGAUAUUUACAUUUUUUAUUUAAACACACCCUACUUCAGAUGCAGAUGGAGAUCUGAUUUGUCUUUCCUGAAGGCUGUCCCUCCCUAGACGGUAAUUUGCUUUGUAAUGACUUUCAUUUCACUAAAGAGCCCAUUCCCCCUCUCCGGGGCUUGGGGUUGGAGAUAACAAAAGAGCUCUGGGAGGUAAUAAUUACAGUCAUUAGUUCACAAAGGAGGCAGCCAGUGAAUGGGAAGGGAAGGCGGCCGCUUUGGAAGGCCCUUCCUCAGAUGAGGGGCGAGAGACCCAAUCCUCCGACUUGUAGGGACAGUUUCCUUAGGUGUCUGGUUUACCAACAUAUGGGUCUCAGGCUGACCCAAAGAAGAGUGUCUGGCACACAUUUUCCUGUGUCCUUCCCGUGCUUAAAUGUCAAAGGACAGAGAAAGAAGGGAAGAUGGAAAGAAAAAGAGGAAACAACCACGGAAGAACACAAAAAUAUUGCAACCAAGCAUUCACCAAGCCUUUGCCAUUCUCUUUUCUAUUCUCACUUAAAACAUUGGUGCAGGAAAAAUUUAGGGAGGGAGUCUGUUGCCUCCCUCCAUAAAUUCUCCCUACACCAACAGAAAUAACAGAAGGGGCUGAGUGCCAGGGCUCUUGUCUUCAGGGGCCACCCAAGAAGGACGCCUAGAUUGAAGGGUGGCCAGGCAGAAAAGCUGAGCUUAGCUUACUGCUCCUUACCCCUGGCCCCUGCUCCGCCCUCCCCACAAACCCAGGCCUUCUGGAGGCAAGUGGACAGGCAGCUAGAGGUGGAAGGGGGCCAGGCCACUUUGGGCUUUAGACACCCCUGCCCCUCCCAAGCCCCUCUCUCUGGUGACCUGCUGUGCUGGUUUCCUGGGUACUGGGCCAUACUCAGCUCCUCAGUGCAUUCGCACAGCUGAGGGUUACUCCUUACUUUCAGUCGCAACCCCAGCAAGACUGUGCCGCUAACCCAGGGAAAAAGAAGGCCUGGAGGGCACUUGGACUCUGCCAUGCCAUAGCUGCAGGUUUUCCCUUGGCCACAUUGCAUCUGUAAAAUGAAGAGAUUACACGAGUUGGCUCUGGGGACCUUUUGGUGCCAACUCUUUGAGUUGGCGAGAUUACUAUGCCCUGUGGACCAGCGGCGCAACAAACGCUCUGAGCCCUCUGCACAUGCCCUCACUCACUCCUCGAAUAUUUCCCCAGAGUCUUUUGACUCCGGCUUGUGGGUGCAGGAGCCAAGGGCACCCACACAAGGGGUGAGCCCCAUCGUGAUCAGAACCCUUCUUCCAAUUCCAUGCAACGACCUCAUCACCUGUCCUCACCCUCUCCAGGUUGCUUAGAUGGGAAUGUCAGUUUCAUAAAACAGCUUAAACCGGGUUUUAGAAUAAGGUGCAGUCAACCCAGGAAUGCAAACUUCUGUCCACCCACUAGCCUCCCCCAUUUUAAAUACACACAAAGUCGGAGUAGCAAAGAUGGCCCCAAAUCUGCAGACCGGGAGAACCUGAAAUCUGACAGUUCCACCCAGUGGGGGCACUAGCAUCUUUAUAGAUGGGGCCAAAGACAGUCACGCAGAUUGGGAAGGCAUCGUGCAGGCGAGCACGUGUGGUGUGUUGGGGAUUUAGACAUUGGAGGCCUCUGCGUUUGUGUGGCAAGGGGUUUUAGCUUAGAUUGUGUUUGUCUGAAGUGGCUGGGUGGUGCUGGGAGUUCGCUGAUGAAGGCACCUCAACGCCCCUCCUUGGGCCCGUCACCAGCACAGCCUUAUAGCAGAAGCCCCUCAGAAGCCCUAGAGGGGAAAAUGAGGGAUCAGUCACGCAAA
Molecule: long non-coding RNA, 3769 nt
Filed under: Homo sapiens (human)
Lineage: Eukaryota; Metazoa; Chordata; Mammalia; Primates; Hominidae
Description: non-protein coding lnc-ABI1-10:1
Source: RNAcentral